This 848-nucleotide long non-coding RNA is filed under the name Hordeum vulgare. RNAcentral's name for it is "long non-coding RNA (HVUL_LNC008409)". The record is from RNAcentral. Lineage: Eukaryota; Viridiplantae; Streptophyta; Magnoliopsida; Poales; Poaceae.
ACGCCAGGUGGUUUGCAUGUAACAAAUAAGUGUUUAUUUCACGACAGAUCUCAAAUAGUAUGAAGAAAGCAAGGAGAAAAGUGAAGGCAUUGGUAAGUUUUGAUAUAUGAAAAAUAAGGAGAUAACUUAGGUUCGGUUUUACCAUAUAUAUAUUGGGUUCGCUUGAUGCUGAGUCCAUUUGUUGACUUCAGUUGCAAAAUGAGUUUUUACCAAAACUGACAAAAAGGAAAUUGUAGUUAAGUUGGGUCACUGUCCAUGAUUAUAGACUUGUAAUGUCCUCUGUUUGGUGCUGGUACACUAUGGUACUACGCCGUGCUCUUUCAUGAAUCAAAACUGUAAUCGAUAAUCUUACCAUCUCACCAAGAAAUUGCACCGUGCAAACAUAUUGACCAGACAGAUUUAUCCAACAUUUUAACUCAUGAUCGUGUAAUAUUUGGCAAUUGAAAUUCCUUACCAUACUAGCAUGUGCAUUCAAAAUUAAUUGCAAAUUAGGUUGUGUUCCAUAGGUUAUGUUCAUAGCUAAAAAUGAUAUCUAUUUAGAGAUUGGGUGAGUAAUUUUUUUUUGGAUCAGUAGGGUUUUGUGCCCCAACACCGGAAAGAAGAAAUAUGUGGUGUACUACGAAAACAAGCACAUGUGGAUCAUUAUAAUUCCCUGACUAAUAAUGUUAUGAUGGAGACAUCUUACCUAAUAAAGGCACUUAAUUAAUUGUGUGUACGUCAGAUAUGCAUUAGAACAGUUAUAGAUGCGAGCUCUGUACUCAUUGCGUGUACAUUUGGAUCGAUGCAACUUUGUGUUGUAGAAAAUUGCAUGCUUAAUUACGUGUUCCUACAAUUGUACACAUUCUCCU